AGUCAGGUUGCACGUCAUAUAAUUCUCGGAUGCCACGGAGAUAUUGAAAAUGGCGGAGCGGUGAAAAAUUCAAAAGCAGCACAGGGCCCCGUAGCGAAAAAAGGACGGGUCUGGAGUACUAAAUCGAAGGAAACGAGAAUAAUGACAUUAUUUAAGAAAGGAACAAAUUAUGAUUCUGGAAAUUACAGAUCGGAGUUUUAUGAUACAUGAAACCCUCUGAAGCCAAAGGCUUGUACCCGGAUGAAACUUGAUCUCCUUCAACAUGUGGAGUCUGUUCAUUUUCUUGAAGUAUUAUCUCAACAAAUGAUUUUUAUGCAUUUAGAGCAACCAGCUCUGUGGAAC
Molecule: long non-coding RNA, 342 nt
Organism: Spea bombifrons (plains spadefoot toad)
Lineage: Eukaryota; Metazoa; Chordata; Amphibia; Anura; Pelobatidae
Exons: 3
Source: RefSeq, a predicted model, not a curated record